GAUGAACGCUGGCUACAGGCUUAACACAUGCAAGUCGAGGGGAAACGCCGGGGACGCUUGCUUCUCCGGGCGUCGACCGGCGCACGGGUGACUAACGCGUAUCCAACCUGCCUCUGACUGAGGGAUAACCCGUCGAAAGUCGGCCUCAUACCUCAUGGCAUCGUCUGCGGGCAUCCAACGACGAUUAAAGAUUUCAUCGGUCAGGGAUGGGGAUGCGUCUGAUUUGCUUGUUGGCGGGGUAACGGCCCACCAAGGCUACGAUCAGUAGGGGUUCUGAGAGGAAGGUCCCCCGCAGUGGAACCGAGGCACGGACCAAACUGCGACGGGAGGCAAGAGUAAGGAAUACAAGUCGAGGAGCGGUAGCCUGAACCAGCCAAGUAGCGUGCAGGAGGACGGCCCUAGGGGUUGUAUACUGCUUGUGUACGAGGAAAGAGUGAGGGACGUGUCCCUCAUUGAAGGUACCGCAUGAAUAAGGACCGGCUAAUUCCGUG
RNAcentral lists this ribosomal RNA (491 nucleotides) under uncultured bacterium. RNAcentral's name for it is "partial 16S ribosomal RNA". It matches the Rfam family "Bacterial small subunit ribosomal RNA", at positions 28 to 507 of the family's 1533-position model. The record is from RNAcentral.